CGAACGGGUGAGUAACACGUGAGUAACCUGCCCCAGAGUGGGGGACAACAGUUGGAAACGACUGCUAAUACCGCAUAAGCCCACAGAACCGCAUGGUUCAGAGGGAAAAGGAGCAAUUCGCUUUGGGAUGGACUCGCGUCCGAUUAGCUAGAUGGUGAGGUAACGGCCCACCAUGGCGACGAUCGGUAGCCGGACUGAGAGGUUGAUCGGCCACAUUGGGACUGAGACACGGCCCAG
Molecule: ribosomal RNA, 237 nt
Filed under: uncultured bacterium
Lineage: Bacteria
Description: partial 16S ribosomal RNA
Rfam family: Bacterial small subunit ribosomal RNA
Source: RNAcentral